Molecule: unclassified non-coding RNA, 253 nt
Filed under: plant metagenome
Description: partial contains small subunit ribosomal RNA, internal transcribed spacer 1, and 5.8S ribosomal RNA
Source: RNAcentral
UUUCCGUUGGUGAACCUGCGGAAGGAUCAUUAUUGAGUUUUGAAUGAAGUUGUUCUGGUCUUUCGGGGCAAGUGAACGCUUCUCUCAAUCCAUCUUACACCUGUGCACCUAUCGGGGAAGACUUGGAUCUAAGUUGGGUCACGACGGCGAUCUACAGUCUCCUCUUUAUACCAAAUAACAGUUUUAGAAAGUCUUUUUUGCUUGAUGCAAACUUAAAUAAAUACAACUUUCAGCAACGGAUCUCUUGGCUCUC